RNAcentral lists this unclassified non-coding RNA (402 nucleotides) under fungal sp. RNAcentral describes it as "partial internal transcribed spacer region". The stretch from base 1 to 46 matches the Rfam family "Eukaryotic small subunit ribosomal RNA", at positions 1786 to 1831 of the family's 1831-position model. Lineage: Eukaryota; Fungi. The record is from RNAcentral.
AAGUCGUAACAAGGUUUCCGUAGGUGAACCUGCGGAAGGAUCAUUAACACGUUAUCCACGUAUCUACCUCUUGUGAACUUAUUUUUAGAGUUGGCGACCAGCGUAGUGAUGGGAGCAGAUUUUUACUAUGUCCAUUCGACGCCCGUCGGUUCGGGCCCGUUUGGUUCUGCCUUUUCCCUAAUCGAUCCCAGAAGAGUGCGAAUGAGAGGCCUAUCCACCCUCGUCGUCGCAUGUUCACUCCGGCGGAUCGGGUAUGCUGGUACAUAUGACUCGAAUCAUAGUAGAUUUUAAAAUAUUAAACCUUUUUUUAAUAAUUGUAAGAUCGUGAUGGUCUUAGGUAACACUUCGACUCACGUUAAUAAAACACUAUACAACUCUUAGCAACGGAUAUCUCGGUUCUCC